AACGAACGCUGGCGGCAUGCCUAACACAUGCAAGUCGAACGAAUGGUUUCGGCCAUUAGUGGCGCACGGGUGAGUAACGCGUGGGAAUCUGCCCAGCAGUGGGGGAUAACCUCUGGAAACGGAGGCUAAUACCGCAUACGCCCCUCGGGGGAAAGGCUUGCUGCUGCUGGAGGAGCCCGCGUCGGAUUAGGUAGUUGGUGGGGUAACGGCCUACCAAGCCUGUGAUCCGUAGCUGGUCUGAGAGGAUGAUCAGCCACACUGGGACUGAGACACGGCCCAGACUCCUACGGGAGGCAGCAGUGGGGAAUAUUGGACAAUGGGCGCAAGCCUGAUCCAGCAAUGCCGCGUGAGUGAUGAAGGCCUUCGGUUGUAAGACUCUUCGUCCCACGACGAUGAUGACGGUAGUGGGAGAAGAAG
RNAcentral lists this ribosomal RNA (417 nucleotides) under uncultured bacterium. RNAcentral's name for it is "bacterial SSU rRNA". It matches the Rfam family "Bacterial small subunit ribosomal RNA", at positions 29 to 490 of the family's 1533-position model. The record is from RNAcentral.